Molecule: long non-coding RNA, 250 nt
Organism: Penaeus monodon (black tiger shrimp)
Lineage: Eukaryota; Metazoa; Arthropoda; Malacostraca; Decapoda; Penaeidae
Exons: 3
Source: RefSeq, a predicted model, not a curated record
CUAUACAAUGUGUAAACAAACCCACGUGUGGUUAUUUUACUUUACUUCCCGGUUACAUAACGAUGAAGCUUCUUAUAAUGUAAACAACGGCAGAAACAACAAUCGCUAAAGGUAGCGAAUUGGACUUUUCACCCAGACCUUGCAUAUUUCUCAUUGCCUGACACCAUGCCCGUUGGUCCCGAUGGAUUUCGUGUGCCAAAUGCUAAUGAAGGUGACUCGAAAAAUAAAUUAGAAUGGUUGGUGGGGCCAU